UACAUGUGAAGAAGGAUCCUCUUCAAGACAGUAGCAACUUACUAGGAUUACUCAACCAAGUCUUGAUUUAGCAUCAAAAGGACACCCCAAAGCUCUCACCAGGUCUGCACGAAGAUCCACCAGAACUUUGACUCUGGCACAACUUGGCCGAGUCUUGUUGAUAGUGGCCUGAUCUAGUUGCAAAGGAAUACCUACUGCUGAAGCCAGGGAAAAGAGGGACUCCUUCUCGAAGAAUGUUGGUAGUAGAUUCGGAAAUGAAAUCCAUGCCAUGGAUCUCGAUGUUUCCUCCUCCACCCUAAACUUAGAAUCAUAGAUUAGAGUCCUCAUUAGAUAUGAAUAUCCUUCAUUGCAAGUUAUGUAAUAUACCCCUUUUGAUAUUAUGUUGAUAUAGUCCUCCAUAUAUGAGAGACGAAUCAGAACAUGUCGAUUCCGUAACAGGCCAACCAUGCACUCCCCCUUAAUUCCACACUGAGAUGGAAUUGCCUUUCUUAAAAACUCUAAAUCUGGCCAUCCAUAUGAAAAUUUGCCAAUGAUAGCAAAUUCCAGAUUCUGUUUGAUAUUCAUUCUUUCCACUUCUGAUUCGGUCCAUUUGAUCCUUGGUAUACCUUCAACUAUAGUCACUGGUUUUAUCAAAACUGGUUCUGUUUUUUUUGUUAUUGUA
Molecule: long non-coding RNA, 661 nt
Organism: Solanum tuberosum (potato)
Lineage: Eukaryota; Viridiplantae; Streptophyta; Magnoliopsida; Solanales; Solanaceae
Exons: 2
Source: RefSeq, a predicted model, not a curated record